Molecule: non-coding RNA, 245 nt
Organism: Paramuricea clavata
Lineage: Eukaryota; Metazoa; Cnidaria; Anthozoa; Malacalcyonacea; Plexauridae
Source: the annotation of a GenBank genome assembly
UUACAGGUCUAUCUUGGAGUGCACAAGAUGAUGAAAGGGGUGGGGUCUGUCAAGCGAGGCGUUACUUUAUUCAAAUUAAUGAAAAUUUCAAUGUGCAAAAGCUAAAGAGUUACAACUCGGGUGUCAUAACAUACAAGUUUUAUGGAACCCUUAUCCCGCCGAAAAUGGGAGAAAUUGCAUUCCUCCGGCAAGUUGGGACGGCCUUUGGUGCACCGGUAAGUUGGUAACAGUUGUUUACAGGGAGC